AUACAGAGGGUGCGAGCGUUAAUCGGAAUUACUGGGCGUAAAGCGCGCGUAGGCGGCUUAUUAAGUCAGAUGUGAAAUCCCCGGGCUCAACCUGGGAACUGCAUCUGAUACUGGUAAGCUAGAGUUUAGGAGAGGGAAGUAGAAUUUCAGGUGUAGCGGUGAAAUGCAUAGAGAUCUGAAGGAAUACCAGUGGCGAAGGCGACUUCCUGGCCAAAAACUGACGCUGAGGUGCGAAAGCGUGGGUAGCAAACGGGAUUAGAAACCCCAGUAGUCC
Molecule: ribosomal RNA, 274 nt
Filed under: uncultured bacterium
Lineage: Bacteria
Description: partial 16S ribosomal RNA
Rfam family: Bacterial small subunit ribosomal RNA
Source: RNAcentral